AGCUCCAAUAGCGUAUCUUAAAGUUGUUGUGGUUAAAAAGCUCGUAGUUGGAUUUCGGCGGGCAUAGGUCGGUUUGAAUCGCUUCAACACUGACUUUUUUGCCCGUGUGUGUUUGCCAGAGUUUGACAGGUGAUCUUAAUCGAUUGUCCGUUGGAGCUGGCAGGUUUACUUUGAAAAAAUUAGAGUGCUCAAAGCAAGCUUGAUUGCUUGAAUAUUCGUGCAUGGAAUAAUAGAAUAGGAAGUCGUUUCUAUUUUGUUGGUUUUCGGAGAUUGACUUAAUGAUUAAUAGGGAUAGUCGGGGGCAUUUGUAUUCAAACGACAGAGGUGAAAUUCUUGGACCGUUUGAAGACAAACUACUGCGAAAGCAUUUGCCAAGAAUGUUUUCA
RNAcentral lists this ribosomal RNA (386 nucleotides) under uncultured eukaryote. Its description in RNAcentral is "SSU rRNA". It matches the Rfam family "Eukaryotic small subunit ribosomal RNA", at positions 587 to 972 of the family's 1831-position model. The record is from RNAcentral.